This 774-nucleotide ribosomal RNA is filed under the name beta proteobacterium KILR2. RNAcentral's name for it is "bacterial SSU rRNA". It matches the Rfam family "Bacterial small subunit ribosomal RNA", at positions 24 to 798 of the family's 1533-position model. The record is from RNAcentral. Lineage: Bacteria; Pseudomonadati; Pseudomonadota; Betaproteobacteria.
UCAGAUUGAACGCUGGCGGCAUGCCUUACACAUGCAAGUCGAACGGCAGCGCGGGGCAACCUGGCGGCGAGUGGCGAACGGGUGAGUAAUAUAUCGGAACGUACCCUGGAGUGGGGGAUAACGUAGCGAAAGUUACGCUAAUACCGCAUACGAUCUAAGGAUGAAAGUGGGGGAUCGCAAGACCUCAUGCUCCUGGAGCGGCCGAUAUCUGAUUAGCUAGUUGGUGGGGUAAAGGCCUACCAAGGCAUCGAUCAGUAGCUGGUCUGAGAGGACGACCAGCCACACUGGAACUGAGACACGGUCCAGACUCCUACGGGAGGCAGCAGUGGGGAAUUUUGGACAAUGGGCGAAAGCCUGAUCCAGCAAUGCCGCGUGAGUGAAGAAGGCCUUCGGGUUGUAAAGCUCUUUUGUCAGGGAAGAAACGGUGCUUUCUAAUACAGAGCGCUAAUGACGGUACCUGAAGAAUAAGCACCGGCUAACUACGUGCCAGCAGCCGCGGUAAUACGUAGGGUGCAAGCGUUAAUCGGAAUUACUGGGCGUAAAGCGUGCGCAGGCGGUUUUGUAAGUCUGUCGUGAAAUCCCCGGGCUCAACCUGGGAAUGGCGAUGGAGACUGCAAGGCUAGAGUUUGGCAGAGGGGGGUAGAAUUCCACGUGUAGCAGUGAAAUGCGUAGAUAUGUGGAGGACACCGAUGGCGAAGGCAGCCCCUGGGUCAAGACUGACGCUCAUGCACGAAAGCGUGGGGAGCAACAGGAUUAGAUACCCUGGUAGUCCAC